This 425-nucleotide ribosomal RNA is filed under the name uncultured Methanosaeta sp. RNAcentral describes it as "bacterial SSU rRNA". It matches the Rfam family "Archaeal small subunit ribosomal RNA", at positions 322 to 747 of the family's 1478-position model. Lineage: Archaea; Methanobacteriati; Methanobacteriota; Methanomicrobia; Methanotrichales; Methanotrichaceae. The record is from RNAcentral.
CCUACGGGGUGCAGCAGGCGCGAAAACUUUACAAUGCCGGCAACGGCGAUAAGGGGACCUCGAGUGCCAGGUUACAAAUCUGGCUGUCGUGAUGCCUAAAAAGCAUUGCAUAGCAAGGGCCGGGCAAGACCGGUGCCAGCCGCCGCGGUAACACCGGCGGCUCGAGUGGUAACCGUUAUUAUUGGGUCUAAAGGGUCUGUAGCCGGCCGGAUAAGUCUCUUGGGAAAUCCAGCAGCUCAACUGUUGGGCUUUCAGGAGAUACUGUCUGGCUCGAGGCCGGGAGAGGUGAGAGGUACUUCAGGGGUAGGGGUGAAAUCUUGUAAUCCUUGAAGGACCACCAGUGGCGAAGGCGUCUCACCAGAACGGACCUGACGGCAAGGGACGAAAGCUAGGGGCACGAACCGGAUUAGAUACCCGCGUAGUCC